RNAcentral lists this ribosomal RNA (111 nucleotides) under Azadinium spinosum. RNAcentral's name for it is "partial Bacterial large subunit ribosomal RNA". The record is from RNAcentral. Lineage: Eukaryota; Dinophyceae; Gonyaulacales; Amphidomataceae.
UGCAGCUCAAAAGUUGGAUUAAUAGCAUCCAUCUUUUCAAAAGUGUGUAGUAUCUUAUGAGCUAAAUUAUCUUAGAGUGUAUUUGGCAAAUAAAGAUAUUGCUGAACCUCU